UCGGAUCAGGGUUAGUCGGGUCCUAAGGGUAAGCCGAACGGUGAUCUCGAUGGAUAAUCGGUUAAUAUUCCGAUACUGACAUAUACCUCGAUGGAGAGACGAAGGAACGUAAGUGCCGCCACCUGACGGAAUAGGUGGUUAAAGGGCUUAGGUAUAGGGGCAGAUUAAGAGUUAGUCCUUGCUGAAACCUGACAGUACAGAGAGCCUACGGGCAAUUUGAUAGAGCACCCAAGUCGACUUCCGAGAAAAUCUUCUAAGUUAUAGUAUAUGUUACCCGUACCGUAAACCGACACAGGUGGUCGAGGAGAGUAUCCUAAGGUGCUCGAGUGAAUCACGGUUAAGGAACUAGGCAAAUUAACCCCGUAACUUCGGGAAAAGGGGUCCCUAUGAAAGUAGGGCGCAGCGAAGAGGUCCAGGCGACUGUUUAUCAAAAACACAGGGCUCUGCAAAUUCGAAAGAAGACGUAUAGGGCCUGACACCUGCCCGGUGCUGGAAGGUUAAGAGGGGAUGUCAUCGCAAGAGAAGCAUUGAAUCGAAGCCCCAGUAAACGGCGGCCGUAACUAUAACGGUCCUAAGGUAGCGAAAUUCCUUGUCGGGUAAGUUCCGACCUGCACGAAUGGUGUAACGAUCUGGACACUGUCUCAACCGUGAGCUCGGUGAAAUUGUAGUCCCGGUGAUGAUGCCGGGUACCCGCAACGGGACGAAAAGACCCCGUGAACCUUUACUAUAGCUUAACGCUGAAUUUGGGUACACAAUGUGUAGGAUAGGCCGGAGGCAUUGAGACGGGCACGCCAGUGUUCGUGGAGCCGACGUUGAAAUACGGCCCUUUGUGUACUUGGAUUCUAACCCCUCGAGGGGGACACCGUUUGGUGGGUAGUUUGACUGGGGUGGUCGCCUCCAAAAGCGUAACGGAGGCUUCCCAAGGUACCCUCAGCACGAAUGGUAACCGUGCGCGGAGUGCAAUAGCAUAAGGGUGCUUGACUGUGAGACAUACAAGUCGACCAGGUACGAAAGUAGGGUAUAGUGAUCCGGUGGUUCUGCGUGGACUGGCCAUCGCUCAAAGGAUAAAAGGUACUCCGGGGAUAACAGGCUGAUC
Molecule: ribosomal RNA, 1096 nt
Filed under: human gut metagenome
Description: bacterial LSU rRNA
Rfam family: Bacterial large subunit ribosomal RNA
Source: RNAcentral